This 532-nucleotide long non-coding RNA is filed under the name Homo sapiens (human). RNAcentral's name for it is "HSALNT0292123". The record is from RNAcentral. Lineage: Eukaryota; Metazoa; Chordata; Mammalia; Primates; Hominidae.
UCUGCCCUCCUCGGCAUCCCAAAGUGCUGGAAUUACAGACAUGAGCCACCAUGCUCAGCCUUGAAAGUAUUUUUCUAGAUGAUAAUCCACCUGACUGAUUUAUUUCUUAUUUGGCUCAGGAAGCAUGAUGGCAUAAGGAUUAAGAACACAGGCUCCGCAGUCAUAUACCUAAGUCAAGCAGUUUAUUGUGGUUUAAUGAUGAGAUGCAUGUGCUGAGGAGGUAAUCAGAAGAAGUGAGAAAAGGAGACGGUGUGAAAUUUUGAAGAUUUUAUAUGCCAUGAUGCAGAAAUAAAAGUUCAGCAGGGUCAAGUAAGUUGUCCAAUGUUCAGUAUGAUGGAGUGGGAUUCACAUGCAAGACUAACUACCACUGAACCAUUUACUUCUGACUUUGCUAUUCUGCUUCCACUCACUGAACAUCUCUCUGAGCAAGGCUCAGCACCUGGUAUGAAGGCUGAAACAAGAGCGGUUGCACAGCAAAUGUUUUGCUAUAAUGAGAGAAUACAUGAAUUAAAUGCGAAUUAAACUGCUUCUA